Molecule: transfer RNA, 70 nt
Filed under: Tachypleus gigas (Indo-Pacific horseshoe crab)
Lineage: Eukaryota; Metazoa; Arthropoda; Merostomata; Xiphosura; Limulidae
Description: tRNA-Val
Source: RNAcentral
CAGAGUAAAGUUUAAAGGUAGCAACUCAUUUACACUGAGGAUAAAUUUGUCCAAAGUCUAAUUAUUCGGA